RNAcentral lists this ribosomal RNA (887 nucleotides) under uncultured eukaryote. RNAcentral's name for it is "SSU rRNA". It matches the Rfam family "Eukaryotic small subunit ribosomal RNA", at positions 563 to 1471 of the family's 1831-position model. The record is from RNAcentral.
UGUGCCAGCAGCCGCGGUAAUUCCAGCUCCAAUAGCGUAUAUUAAAGUUGUUGCGGUUAAAAAGCUCGUAGUUGGAUCUCGGCGGGCAGGGGGUGGUUCGCUCUUCAGCGCUACUGCCCCGCUUUGCCCGUGUGAUUGGCGGAGGUUUCGGGGUGCUCUUCGUUGAGUGACUCGGAGCGCCGUCAGGUUUACUUUGAAAAAAUUAGAGUGCUCAAAGCAGGCUUUUCACGCUUGAAUAUUCGUGCAUGGAAUAAUGGAAUAGGAACUCGUUUCUAUUUUGUUGGUUUUCGGAAAUCGAGUUAAUGAUUAACAGGGACAAUUGGGGGCAUUAGUAUUCAGACGACAGAGGUGAAAUUCUUGGACCGUCUGAAGACUGACUACUGCGAAAGCAUUUGCCAAGAGUGUUUUCAUUAAUCAAGAACGAAAGUUAGAGGUUCGAAGGCGAUCAGAUACCGCCCUAGUUCUAACCAUAAACGAUGCCAGCUAGCGAUCUGCCGAGUUUUUUUUGUAGGCUCCGCAGGAAGCUUUCGGGAAACCAAAGCUUUUGGGUUCCGGGGGAAGUAUGGUUGCAAAGCUGAAACUUAAAGGAAUUGACGGAAGGGCACCACCAGGAGUGGAGCCUGCGGCUUAAUUUGACUCAACACGGGAAAUCUCACCAGGCCCGGACACUGGAAGGAUUGACAGAUUGAGAGCUCUUUCUCGAUUCGGUGGGUGGUGGUGCAUGGCCGUUCUUAGUUGGUGGAGUGAUUUGUCUGGUUAAUUCCGAUAACGAACGAGACUCUGUCCUGCUAAAUAGUUGGGUCGUCCUUCGUGCGAUCCAAGUUCUUCUUAGAGGGACUGGCUGCGUCUAGCAGCACGAGAUUGAGCAAUAACAGGUCUGUGAUGCC